GAGAUUGUUUCCAAUUGAUUACCCCACAGUUCUUGCUUGGAACAGCCCAUAUAAUGAAGCAGCCGUUGUUUCAGCAAGUUUGCACAGCAGCCUUUAAUGGUUGUGAUGACAAAGGAAAGGGUUACAUCACAAGGCAACAGGUAACAUCUGCUCUGUUGUUUUCCCGUAACAAGCUUUUUCCCUUUUUUGCCCCCUUGUCUCUGAUCCUAUUGUGUGCACAUUUAGGAGAUGCCAUCCAUUCUGCAAUGCCGAGCAUGAAUGACAAUAAUGGAAGUAUCUGAGCUAUUCAACUUGUUUGACAGUGACAAUGACGGUGCUAUUCGUUCCGACAAUUUCAAGGCCUGCCUAAGAAGGAACCCCCUGCUUGUUGCGCUCUUUGCUUCUAAUUCGAUGCAUUGUGGCUUGAUAGAAGGUGGAAAGCUAGUGAUUGCAUGAUGAUUAAAUGGGUAUAUUAAAGUCCCUGUGAAAUGCUCGAUGAUUGGCUUCUAAUUCAACGUUGUGUGACUUACAAUAGGUGGGAAACUAGAGGUUGUAUGAUGAACAUAUGGGAAUAUGAUUAAAUGAAAUGAUCGAUGUUUGGCUUA
Molecule: RNA transcript, 584 nt
Organism: Magnolia sinica
Lineage: Eukaryota; Viridiplantae; Streptophyta; Magnoliopsida; Magnoliales; Magnoliaceae
Gene name: lysophospholipid acyltransferase LPEAT2-like
Exons: 2
Source: RefSeq, a predicted model, not a curated record